Long non-coding RNA from Paramormyrops kingsleyae, 709 nucleotides. RefSeq lists it as uncharacterized. NCBI's taxonomy places the organism in Eukaryota, Metazoa, Chordata, Actinopteri, Osteoglossiformes, Mormyridae. The record is from RefSeq and is a predicted model, not a curated record.
GGAACACUGACGUCAUGCUUUCCUUUAUGCGGCGUUUCUCGUCGCAUAGGCAGCAGGAGAUACUUACACGACAUAUGGAGGUUUUAGGAUUGGUUUAUGUCGGUUUUUGAACUGCUGAACUGUACGUGUUAGUCACCUGCCUGGAUUUGAAAUAGCAACUCUACCCUUUGACCUACUGGCAACUUGAUUCUGCACCCCGGGAAGGAUCACAUAUAACCUAAAAUGACAAAACCCAUUCUGGAGAAGUCCAUAGGAAGAAGAGAACAGCCACAUCUACUCGUAGAAACCUUUGGCUUUUUUUCCACUUGGUGUAACGUUGGCUGUUGUUCUGUUCGUGAUGAUCCUGUUCCUUGAGGGUAGCUGUGUUUUAAAUGGUGCUGCAUGGAAACAGUUUGAAUACACAAAAAAACUAAGCAAACAGCAUAUGUUAGAAUGCUAAAUUAUUCAGACUGUGAUUGUCCUUCUGAAUGGAGUGACUGCAAUAAAUUUGACAAUGUUGUUGUAUGUUGUGUGACGUUUCUCUUAGGGUAGGUUGCUGCAGUGCUGUAGUGGACUUAAAAAAUGGACUUAAACAAUGUACAGCGUAAGAUGAGACUGAGACGUGUAGUUGGAUAAAGGAUGUUUCACUAUCAAAUUAUCAUUAUGAAUUGUACAGGAACCUGACCAUCAUUUGGGAAAGAGGGUUAGAAAAUGGACGGAAGGUUCUGUG